GACAUUCAAGGAGUAAUCUGAGAGUGUUCUAGCGGCGGACGGGUGAGUAACGCGUGAGCAACCUGUCCUUAUCUGGGGGAUAAGAAGCCGAAAGGCUUUCUAAUACCGCAUGAGACCACAGAGCCACAUGGUUCAGGGGUCAAAGGAGUAAUCCGGGUAAGGGUGGGCUCGCGUCUGAUUAGCUAGUUGGUGGGGUAACGGCUCACCAAGGCUUUGAUCAGUAGCCGACCUGAGAGGGUGAUCGGCCACAUUGGAACUGAGACACGGUCCAAACUCCUACGGGAGGCAGCAGUGGGGAAUAUUGGGCAAUGGGCGAAAGCCUGACCCAGCAACGCCGCGUGAAGGAAGAAGGUUUUCGGAUCGUAAACUUCUAUCCUAGGUGAAGAUAAUGACGGUAGCCUAGAAGGAAGCCCCGGCUAACUACGUGCCAGCAGCCGCGGUAAUACGUAGGGGGCAAGCGUUGUCCGGAAUGAUUGGGCGUAAAGGGCGCGUAGGCGGCCUUCUAAGUCCGAUGUGAAAGUCCUGCUUUUAAGGUGGGAAUUGCAUUGGAAACUGGAGGGCUUGAGUGCAGGAGAGGUAAGUGGAAUUCCCGGUGUAGCGGUGAAAUGCGUAGAGAUCGGGAGGAACACCAGUGGCGAAGGCGACUUACUGGACUGUAACUGACGCUGAGGCGCGAAAGUGUGGGGAGCAAACAGGAUUAGAUACCCUGGUAGUCCACGCCCUAAACGAUGUCAACUGGUUGUUGGGAGGGUUUCUUCUCAGUAACGAAGCUAACGCGUGAAGUUGACCGCCUGGGGAGU
Molecule: ribosomal RNA, 800 nt
Filed under: uncultured beta proteobacterium
Lineage: Bacteria; Pseudomonadati; Pseudomonadota; Betaproteobacteria
Description: bacterial SSU rRNA
Rfam family: Bacterial small subunit ribosomal RNA
Source: RNAcentral